CACAAAGACACAGAACAGACACCUGCUGCUCCUCUCUCUUUAUUCUGUGGUCAUAAUUACACAACCUGAACCAAUCACAGACAGACACCACUUUACCCCUCCAUCAGCUGCUGCAGCUGCUGAGAACCUGAAGGAAAACGCAUGUGGAAGGUUUUCUUUUUGCUGUCCUGGUGGUUCGUUUUAACGAUUUGAGAUGAUUUUUUUACAUAAACAACUGGCUUUGUUCCUGACUGUAUUUCUGCUGAGAAGCCAAGUUGUGGCUGAAGAGCAAGAAACGUCGCUCAGCCUGUGGGGGAAGGUGGCUGACCUGACUGGAUCGAGCCACUGGAUAUUAAAGCCCCAGAUGUUCAUCCCCGCCCUGCAGGAACUCACCGUCUGCCUUAACGUG
This is a long non-coding RNA of Xiphophorus hellerii (green swordtail), 388 nucleotides long. RefSeq lists it as uncharacterized. The record is from RefSeq and is a predicted model, not a curated record. Lineage: Eukaryota; Metazoa; Chordata; Actinopteri; Cyprinodontiformes; Poeciliidae. The transcript has 3 exons.